Molecule: ribosomal RNA, 510 nt
Filed under: uncultured bacterium
Lineage: Bacteria
Description: bacterial SSU rRNA
Rfam family: Bacterial small subunit ribosomal RNA
Source: RNAcentral
AAGCUGGCGGCGUGCCUAAUCAUGCAAGUCGAGCGGACGUUUUUGAAGCUUGCUUCAAAACGUUAGCGGCGGACGGGUGAGUAACACGUGGGCAACCUACCUUAUCGUCUGGGAUAACUCCGGGAAACCGGGGCUAAUACCGGAUAAUAUCUAGCACCUCCUGGUGCCGGAUUAAAAGAGGGCUUCUUGCUCUCACGAUGAGAUGGGCCCGCGGCGCAUUAGCUAGUUGGAGAGGUAACGGCUCCCCAAGGCGACGAUGCGUAGCCGACCUGAGAGGGUGAUCGGCCACACUGGGACUGAGACACGGCCCAGACUCCUACGGGAGGCAGCAGUAGGGAAUCUUCCGCAAUGGACGAAAGUCUGACGGAGCAACGCCGCGUGAGUGAUGAAGGGUUUCGGCUCGUAAAGCUCUGUUAUGAGGGAAGAACACGUACCGUUCGAAUAGGGCGGUACCUUGACGGUACCUCAUCAGAAAGCCACGGCUAACUACGUGCCAGCAGCCGCGGUAAU